CCCAAUGUGGCAUAGUGGUUUGAGUGCUGGACUAGGACUCUGGAGAUCAGGGUUCGAAUCCCCACUCAGC
Molecule: transfer RNA, 70 nt
Filed under: Phrynosoma platyrhinos (Desert horned lizard)
Lineage: Eukaryota; Metazoa; Chordata; Lepidosauria; Squamata; Phrynosomatidae
Description: tRNA-OTHER
Source: RNAcentral